Molecule: ribosomal RNA, 1375 nt
Filed under: uncultured Gammaproteobacteria bacterium
Lineage: Bacteria; Pseudomonadati; Pseudomonadota; Gammaproteobacteria
Description: bacterial SSU rRNA
Rfam family: Bacterial small subunit ribosomal RNA
Source: RNAcentral
UUGAACGCUGGCGGCAGGCCUAACACAUGCAAGUCGAACGGUAACAGGAAGAAGCUUGCUUCUUUGCUGACGAGUGGCGGACGGGUGAGUAAUGUCUGGGAAACUGCCUGAUGGAGGGGGAUAACUACUGGAAACGGUAGCUAAUACCGCAUAACGUCGCAAGACCAAAGAGGGGGACCUUAGGGCCUCUUGCCAUCGGAUGUGCCCAGAUGGGAUUAGCUAGUAGGUGGGGUAAAGGCUCACCUAGGCGACGAUCCCUAGCUGGUCUGAGAGGAUGACCAGCCACACUGGAACUGAGACACGGUCCAGACUCCUACGGGAGGCAGCAGUGGGGAAUAUUGCACAAUGGGCGCAAGCCUGAUGCAGCCAUGCCGCGUGUAUGAAGAAGGCCUUCGGGUUGUAAAGUACUUUCAGCGGGGAGGAAGGUGUUGUGGUUAAUAACCACAGCAAUUGACGUUACCCGCAGAAGAAGCACCGGCUAACUCCGUGCCAGCAGCCGCGGUAAUACGGAGGGUGCAAGCGUUAAUCGGAAUUACUGGGCGUAAAGCGCACGCAGGCGGUCUGUCAAGUCGGAUGUGAAAUCCCCGGGCUCAACCUGGGAACUGCAUUCGAAACUGGCAGGCUUGAGUCUCGUAGAGGGGGGUAGAAUUCCAGGUGUAGCGGUGAAAUGCGUAGAGAUCUGGAGGAAUACCGGUGGCGAAGGCGGCCCCCUGGACGAAGACUGACGCUCAGGUGCGAAAGCGUGGGGAGCAAACAGGAUUAGAUACCCUGGUAGUCCACGCCGUAAACGAUGUCUAUUUGGAGGUUGUGCCCUUGAGGUGUGGCUUCCGGAGCUAACGCGUUAAAUAGACCGCCUGGGGAGUACGGCCGCAAGGUUAAAACUCAAAUGAAUUGACGGGGGCCCGCACAAGCGGUGGAGCAUGUGGUUUAAUUCGAUGCAACGCGAAGAACCUUACCUGGUCUUGACAUCCACAGAACUUUCCAGAGAUGGAGGGGUGCCUUCGGGAACUGUGAGACAGGUGCUGCAUGGCUGUCGUCAGCUCGUGUUGUGAAAUGUUGGGUUAAGUCCCGCAACGAGCGCAACCCUUAUCCUUUGUUGCCAGCGGUUAGGCCGGGAACUCAAAGGAGACUGCCAGUGAUAAACUGGAGGAAGGUAGGGAUGACGUCAAGUCAUCAUGGCCCUUACGACCAGGGCUACACACGUGCUACAAUGGCGCAUACAAAGAGAAGCGAACUCGCGAGAGCAAGCGGACCUCAUAAAGUGCGUCGUAGUCCGGACUGGAGUCUGCAACUCGACUCCAUGAAGUCGGAAUCGCUAGUAAUCGUGGAUCAGAAUGCCACGGUGAAUACGUUCCCGGGCCUUGUACACACCGCC